Molecule: ribosomal RNA, 465 nt
Filed under: uncultured bacterium
Lineage: Bacteria
Description: partial 16S ribosomal RNA
Rfam family: Bacterial small subunit ribosomal RNA
Source: RNAcentral
GACGAACGCUGGCGGCGUGCUUAACACAUGCAAGUCGAACGGAAAGGCCCUGCUUGCAGGGUACUCGAGUGGCGAACGGGUGAGUAACACGUGGGUGAUCUGCCCUGCACUUCGGGAUAAGCCUGGGAAACUGGGUCUAAUACCGGAUAGGAGCCAUUUUUAGUGUGAUGGUUGGAAAGUUUUUUCGGUGUAGGAUGAGCUCGCGGCCUAUCAGCUUGUUGGUGGGGUAAUGGCCUACCAAGGCGGCGACGGGUAGCCGGCCUGAGAGGGUGGACGGCCACAUUGGGACUGAGAGACGGCCCAGACUCCGACGGGAGGCAGCAGUGGGGAAUAUUGCACAAUGGGCGCAAGCCUGAUGCAGCGACGCCGCGUGGGGGAUGACGGCCUUCGGGUUGUAAACUCCUUUCGCUAGGGACGAAGCUUUUUGUGACGGUACCUAGAUAAGAAGCACCGGCUAACUACGUG